Molecule: ribosomal RNA, 918 nt
Filed under: uncultured bacterium
Lineage: Bacteria
Description: bacterial SSU rRNA
Rfam family: Bacterial small subunit ribosomal RNA
Source: RNAcentral
ACGCUGGCGGCAGGCUUAACACAUGCAAGUCGAACGGUAGCAGGAGAAAGCUUGCUUUCUUGCUGACGAGUGGCGGACGGGUGAGUAAUGCUUGGGAAUCUGGCUUAUGGAGGGGGAUAACUACGGGAAACUGUAGCUAAUACCGCGUAGAAUCGGAAGAUGAAAGUGCGGGACCGCAAGGCCGCAUGCCAUGAGAUGAGCCCAAGUGGGAUUAGGUAGUUGGUGGGGUAAAGGCCUACCAAGCCUGCGAUCUCUAGCUGGUCUGAGAGGAUGGCCAGCCACACUGGAACUGAGACACGGUCCAGACUCCUACGGGAGGCAGCAGUGGGGGAUAUUGCGCAAUGGGGGGAACCCUGACGCAGCCAUGCCGCGUGAAUGAAGAAGGCCUUCGGGUUGUAAAGUUCUUUCGGUAUUGAGGAAGGUUGAUGUGUUAAUAGUACAUCAAAUUGACGUUAAAUACAGAAGAAGCACCGGCUAACUCCGUGCCAGCAGCCGCGGUAAUACGGAGGGUGCGAGCGUUAAUCGGAAUAACUGGGCGUAAAGGGCACGCAGGCGGUUAUUUAAGUGAGGUGUGAAAGCCCCGGGCUUAACCUGGGAAUUGCAUUUCAGACUGGGUAACUAGAGUACUUUAGGGAGGGGUAGAAUUCCACGUGUAGCGGUGAAAUGCGUAGAGAUGUGGAGGAAUACCGAAGGCGAAGGCAGCCCCUCGGGAAUGUACUGACGCUCAUGUGCGAAAGCGUGGGGAGCAAACAGGAUUAGAUACCCUGGUAGUCCACGCUGUAAACGCUGUCGAUUUGGGGGUUGGGGUUUAACUCUGGCACCCGUAGCUAACGUGAUAAAUCGACCGCCUGGGGAGUACGGCCGCAAGGUUAAAACUCAAAUGAAUUGACGGGGGCCCGCACAAGCGGUGGAGCAUGU